CGUACAUCGCCGACGCUGCUCGCCCUCCUCGACGCCGCCGGACGUUGCUCGCCCUCGACGCCGUCGUCAGACGCCACCGCCGGACGCCGCUAACCCUCGACACCGCUGGACGCCAGUCGCCCUGCGCUCACCUCGCCCUUGCCUCCCUCGACACCGUCACCCCUCGCUCGUCUCGCUGCUCAGCCGCAGCCAGACGCUGGUCGUCCCGCCGCUGGACUCCGGUCGUCCCCAAAGGCGCUCGCCCAGUCGUCCCCGAAGCCGCUUGCCCAGCUGCCCUCGACGCCGCUCACCCAAUCACCCCCGACGCCCCUCGCCGAGCCUCCACCGAAGCCCCAGCUGCCCUCGACGCCACUCGCUGAGCGAUGGUUCUUUGUUAGCGGACGAGAAGCGCGCUACCUGCGAAACCGAGGGAUCUCGACGUGGAAUGUAUAGAUGCCGAAGCGAUGGUUCUUUGUUAGCGGGGGCUUUUCUUAGGUUGAGUUUGAUGUCUGGAUAUGUGGGUUGGGGGGGAUGAUUGAUGAAGAAUUCUGAGUAACUCAUUCGAGGGAUGUGCACCUGGUUUAGUCAAGUUGAAGCGGAGGGAUGAUUAUGCUAUCAGGAUUGUGCUUGUUUAAUUGAGAUUUCGUAUUUUUAUUGUGUUCAUCGUGUUUGCUUUUGUGGAUUUGAUGUUGGAGACGUGAUUCUGUAAUAGGAUUAAUCACGUCGAAUUGUUUCUUCGAGUCGAGUUGCUUCAUGUUCUUAAAUGUCGGUUCCAAGUUGAAUUAGUUUGUUGAUACAAAACGGAGCUGCAUUUCUCUUGGCAGUGAAAGGUUUUGAUGUGAUUGUCGUUGGAAUUCACAGGGCCGGCUGAUGGUAAUAGAUUGCCUGCAGCCUCUUAUUUGAUAAUUUCGAGUUUACAGUAUUCUUCCGAAGCAAGUGCCGAAAAGGAGGAACCCACAGAGACCGUGAAGGAGUUGUAUGACAAAAAUUCUUGAGUCUGUUAACACGAAAAGAACAAUGGCUCCAAACGCAUGGGCGUGGUCGAUGAUUGAAAAUUGCAAGAACAGAGAGGAUAUUAAGCUUCUCUUUAAUAUCUUGCAGAACCUACCCAGAUUUGGAUUGUCAAAUUUUCGACCUUUGUUGAGAAGUCACAAAAGCAUGUGUGCGUGCAAGGGCUCUUGACUUUGGUGAGCUUUAUCUACACAAGUUGUGUGCCAAGUUCAAAAAUUCUAUAUCAUGCUGAUAUAUUUACCUGAUUCUUCUUCUGCAUUCAAUUGUUGCUACCUACGCUAUCAUUGCUUGUUCUCAAAUGAUCUUUUUACCUCAAGCCUGUCAUGCUUGGAGAACAUAUUCAGAACAUAUUCAGUUGCUUAUGAGAACUUUUGACCA
Long non-coding RNA from Eucalyptus grandis, 1368 nucleotides. RefSeq lists it as uncharacterized. The transcript has 3 exons. Lineage: Eukaryota; Viridiplantae; Streptophyta; Magnoliopsida; Myrtales; Myrtaceae. The record is from RefSeq and is a predicted model, not a curated record.